GUUUCUUCUGUUUUAUCAGUGGAUCGGCGUUUGUCAGGACUCAGGAAGUUGUAGGGAUGAGUGCCUGAGGAAAACAGAAUAGACAGUGGGAGAGAGACUGAAAAAGGCCAGGGAGGAGGGAAUGAAAGAGAAGAAAAGUGGAAAAAAUACUCAGAUGAGACUGUGUAAAGCAGAUUAGAGAGCUCUUUCUUUCUCUUCUUCUUGGCUUCCCUUAUUCUCAUUUCUGUGGUUUGGCAUCUCACCAUAGAAGAGGAUUCAGGAAGUUUGGCUGGAUGGGAAACAAUUUCAUAUGACAUAUGACAGGGAAAGGAGUAUUUGUCUUUGUGUGUGAGACAGUCACCUUCAUCUCCACACAAAAUCCUCUGUCUACAGCCGACCCUGACCUCUCUGGCACCCAUGUGAUUCACCAGGUGCUGUACUGCAUGAGUGAAGGAAUCUAACCACUGUGCUGAAACGGGAAGGUUGAUGUUGCAGUUAGGCAAGCUAACUAUAAGUUUAGAGAUUUUUACCAUCUUCACAAUGUAACUUGUCCUGUACCCUUUGUGAUAUGAAAAUUAAUGACACCUGACUUUGUGUAUCUUGUUGAGGAGAUAUGUGUUUUAAGAGACUGGACUUU
Molecule: long non-coding RNA, 616 nt
Organism: Cyprinus carpio carpio
Lineage: Eukaryota; Metazoa; Chordata; Actinopteri; Cypriniformes; Cyprinidae
Source: Ensembl